RNAcentral lists this transfer RNA (90 nucleotides) under Oscillospiraceae bacterium. RNAcentral's name for it is "tRNA-Ser". It matches the Rfam family "tRNA". From Rfam's summary of the family: Transfer RNA (tRNA) molecules are approximately 80 nucleotides in length. Their secondary structure includes four short double-helical elements and three loops (D, anti-codon, and T loops). Further hydrogen bonds mediate the characteristic L-shaped molecular structure. tRNAs have two regions of fundamental functional importance: the anti-codon, which is responsible for specific mRNA codon recognition, and the 3' end, to which the tRNAs corresponding amino acid is attached (by aminoacyl-tRNA synthetases). tRNAs cope with the degeneracy of the genetic code in two manners: having more than one tRNA (with a specific anti-codon) for a particular amino acid; and 'wobble' base-pairing, i.e. permitting non-standard base-pairing at the 3rd anti-codon position. The record is from RNAcentral. Lineage: Bacteria; Bacillati; Bacillota; Clostridia; Eubacteriales; Oscillospiraceae.
GGAGAGAUGUCCGAGCGGUUUAAGGAACCGGUCUUGAAAACCGGCGAUGUGUCAAAGCAUCCGUGGGUUCGAAUCCCACUCUCUCCGCCA